GUCACUUCUUGGCCUUUUGGCUAAGAUCAAGUAUAGUAUCUGUUCUUAUCAGAGAGGGAAGGGAGAGUUGAUUUUUGAGCUAUGUUUGAUUCUAAUAAUAAAUAAUACUAUGUACAAAUAUUUCAUCACCAAAAACACCAGUUGGAACAAAAAAACUCAUU
RNAcentral lists this small nuclear RNA (161 nucleotides) under Vulpes vulpes (red fox). Its description in RNAcentral is "U2 spliceosomal RNA (ENSVVUG00000027754.1)". The stretch from base 1 to 134 matches the Rfam family "U2 spliceosomal RNA". From Rfam's summary of the family: U2 is a small nuclear RNA (snRNA) component of the spliceosome (involved in pre-mRNA splicing). Complementary binding between U2 snRNA (in an area lying towards the 5' end but 3' to hairpin I) and the branchpoint sequence (BPS) of the intron results the bulging out of an unpaired adenosine, on the BPS, which initiates a nucleophilic attack at the intronic 5' splice site, thus starting the first of two transesterification reactions that mediate splicing. The record is from RNAcentral. Lineage: Eukaryota; Metazoa; Chordata; Mammalia; Carnivora; Canidae.